GCCGCAAUAGCUCAAUUGGCAGAGCAACUGAUUUGUAAUCAGUAGGUUCCGGGUUCGAUUCCUGGCUGCGGCACCA
Molecule: transfer RNA, 76 nt
Filed under: Bacillota bacterium
Lineage: Bacteria; Bacillati; Bacillota
Description: tRNA-Thr
Rfam family: tRNA
About the family: Transfer RNA (tRNA) molecules are approximately 80 nucleotides in length. Their secondary structure includes four short double-helical elements and three loops (D, anti-codon, and T loops).
Source: RNAcentral